Molecule: ribosomal RNA, 447 nt
Filed under: uncultured bacterium
Lineage: Bacteria
Description: bacterial SSU rRNA
Rfam family: Bacterial small subunit ribosomal RNA
Source: RNAcentral
UCGGGAAUUUUGGGCAAUGGGCGAAAGCCUGACCCAGCAACGCCGCGUGAGUGAAGAAGGCCUUCGGGUUGUAAAGCUCUUUUACCAGGGACGAUAAUGACGGUACCUGGAGAAUAAGCCCCGGCAAACUUCGUGCCAGCAGCCGCGGUAAUACGAAGGGGGCUAGCGUUGUUCGGAAUUACUGGGCGUAAAGCGCACGUAGGCGGAUUGUUAAGUCAGAGGUGAAAUCCCGGAGCUCAACUUCGGAACUGCCUUUGAUACUGGCAAUCUAGAGUCCGGAAGAGGUUAGUGGAAUUCCCAGUGUAGAGGUGAAAUUCGUAGAUAUUGGGAAGAACACCAGUGGCGAAGGCGGCUAACUGGUCCGGUACUGACGCUGAGGUGCGAAAGCGUGGGGAGCAAACAGGAUUAGAUACCCCCGUAGUCCCUGAGCGGGCUGGCAAGGCGCAU